RNAcentral lists this ribosomal RNA (467 nucleotides) under uncultured bacterium. RNAcentral's name for it is "SSU rRNA". It matches the Rfam family "Bacterial small subunit ribosomal RNA", at positions 26 to 518 of the family's 1533-position model. The record is from RNAcentral.
AGGACUAACGCUGGCGGCGUGCCUAACACAUGCAAGUCGAACGAGGGGUAGCAAUACCCCUAGUGGCAGACGGGUGAGUAACACGUAGUCAACCUACCUCUUAAUGGGGGAUAACUAGCCGAAAGGUUAGCUAAUACCGCAUACGAUCGUCGAGUGGCAUCACACGACGAUGAAAGGAGCAAUCCGUUGAGAGAGGGGACUGCGUCCCAUUAGUUAGUUGGUGGGGUAAUGGCCUACCAAGACUCCGAUGGGUAGCUGGCUUGAGAGAGCGACCAGCCACACUGGAACUGAGACACGGGUCCAGACUCCUACGGGAGGCAGCAGUGAGGAAUUUUCCGCAAUGGGGGAAACCCUGACGGAGCGACGCCGCGUGUGGGAAGAAGGCCUUCGGGUCGUAACCACUGUCGAGGGGACGAUAUUGACGGUACCCCUGGAGGAGCCCCGGCCAACUACGUGCCAGCAGCCGC